Molecule: long non-coding RNA, 19516 nt
Organism: Ictalurus punctatus (channel catfish)
Lineage: Eukaryota; Metazoa; Chordata; Actinopteri; Siluriformes; Ictaluridae
Source: Ensembl
CUCAACUUGGAAGUUCAAUCUGGGCUGUCUUUUUCUAUCAAUUUUUUGAUAACAAGAUCUUGCCUUUCAUUAAGGUCAAUGUCAGGGAUCUUGGGCUUAAAAAGGUUGGUGACCACUGCUCUAAAUACAUUCAUAUUUUCUGUUUAGGCAUGUGUCAAUUUCAAAAGUGUUUGCAUUACUGAGCAGGACAUUUGCAUUCCUAUUCUUUUCAUAAUUUACUAACGAAAGGUGUUCAUUUUACCAAAUAUCAUCUGGUAGGACCAUAAUGAAAUGAUCAUUUUGAGACUUUUGGGAAAUAUCUAUAAAGGUUUCCAAUAUUUCCAAAUUUGGAAACCAUUCACACUUUGAAGCUCUACAGUUGACAAAUAUGGCUGUCAUGUGGUGUGACAUUAAGAAAACAAUUAAAAUGAAACCAUCAAUGAAUCUAGAUUUUUAUUACAAAUUUUAUAAUAGAUUUUGGUGGGAUGAUGCCUGUACAAUCUGAAUGAACUAGAAAAUUUGAACAGAAAAAAAAAAGUGUCAAAGUGUCAGCGUUAUGCAGUUCCACCGUCUGUGAUAGAUGUUUUCCACUGGCUCAUUGUGCUUUUAUACACAAUUGAUGAUUAAUUUAGAUACCAUUCUUUAUUACAGUUUAAUCUGAAACAUAUUUUUCUAAAAAAAUAAAAUGUGUUUUCCUUGAAUUUCAAUUGAUAUUUGAAUGUCUAUAUUUUAUAUUAUUAUAAAAUUAUUAUCUAGUUAUAUUGUUAUUAUUAUUAUUAUUAUUAUUAUUAUCUAGUUAUAUUAUGUUAAUAUUUUAUUAUAUAGUUCAUUUCAUGAGAAAACAUUUCUUACUUUAUUACAACCUGUUUUCUAAAGGUUACUAAGUAGCAAAGAAAAAAACUGAAUACCAUAGACACUGGUAAGCAAGAGCUGAGCAUCUCACUAGCAUAAAAGAAAGGUAUGUUACAAAGCAAAACUAUUAUCAACAUAUGACUAACAUUGCCCUAUUGCAUUUCUAGCUAUAUGGAUUGGAUUUAAUUGGUUCUAUAUAUAUAUAUAUAUAUAUAUAUUUUUUUUUUUUAUUCAUAAUAUUUUUUUAUUUUAUUUUUUUUUUUUAACACACAUACAUAUAUAUUUUGCACACACAUACACAUAUACAUACAUACAUAUUAUAUAUAUAUAUAUAAAUAUCGCCUCGAGUGGUCAGCUCUUCCUACUAGGGAUGCACCGAAUGUUCAGCGGCCGAAUAAUUUAGCAAAAGUAGCAAAAAAAGCCCUUUCGGUGUAAGCGAAAAGGCCGAAUAAAUUUGACUGAACAAUGACGUGUUUGAUGACGCGACCAAAUAGCCUAGCAACCAGAGUGAGCAGCACGAAUGUCACGACCUCCACUUCCGGCAGCGCGCUCCGAGAGAUGAGAGGGCGUGCGCGUGCAUGAGUGCUCAGCGAGUGCAUGAUCUUCGGAUGUUGACAACCGUGACAUUGUUCACUCCGGACACAUGCGUUUGUUUUGUUUCUGUUCCGGAGUAUUCUGUCACGUUGCGAGACGUAAGGGAGUAGAAUACGGAUUUUUUUUUUCUUUGAAAAGCAAGACAAAAUAGUAAAAAGCACAUUUUGACUAUUGUAAUUUAUGCAAUAGUGAAAAAAAAAGGCAAAAUUAAUGGCAAAAACGUCAAAAAAACGUGUUCGGUAUUCGGCCUUCUUCCAGGUUUUUCAUUAUAUUCGGUUUCGGCUUCGGCCAAGAAUUUUCAUUUCGGUCCAUCAGUACUUCCUACCUUAUAUAGAACAAUAAAGAGCCCACACAUGAACAUAUGUAUCACGUUUUUUGAUGAUUGCUCAAAGCUAAUUUUGUGAAAUGCCUUCAUAAAGCUUAAUGGCUGACAGUGGCCAUAUUAUGAAGUGCAGAUGUGGCCAUUAAAAAUGAAUGAGAAAUAGAACGUGAUCCUGCAGUACACCGCGGGACGUAUGUCACUCAGUUAGCCAGCGCUGUCGAGACAAGACCAUUAGGUGGCAGUCGCUUCACACUCGUUGAGCAGAUUCUUAAAGGCGUAAAAGAAUGUGACAUUACAUUGAACAGUUAAACGAAUUACCUCAUCUUGAUCGACAAUAUGUUAUUUAAAAGCUAAGGAUCUGAUCUUUGACCACUGUUUUAUUAUAAUGUUAAUGUUAUAGUGACAGUAAUUUUACAUUUUCAUUGAACAGUAACAGAGGCUAGCUGGUACGUCACUCCCCUGACCUCAAAAGACACACUGGCGACUACAGUAUGCUAUAGGCUGUACACAGAGUAGGCAGACCGUCUACAAUGGCAAAUUUAAAAAAUAAAGUUGGAACAUUACGAAAUUGAGGUCAUAUUAUUUGGGAAUAAAGUUGUUGCAUUAGGAGAAUAAAUUCAUAAUAUAUUGAGAAUAAAGUCAUAGCAUUAUGAAAACAAAGCAUAAUUUUGAGAACACCACAUAUUAACGGUAGAAAAACGGCAUGAUCACCAAAACGAUAGAAAGCCGAGCCAGCAGCUUAAUCAAUACAAGAAAUGGAUGUCGAGGAUUUAGUUAAAUCUGACUUCAGGAUUAGGUUCAGCAACAAAUAAAUUCUUUGUGUUUUUGAAGAGGAGGAAUCUGCUAAUUUUCCAGCAGUUACUUACUGAUGAAUGAAUCUCCCCUUCCCCCACUAAUAUCACCUCUCAAGGAUAAAUAACUCCCCAUCCCACCCCCUCCUGUGUGAUAUCAAACUGAAAUAUAAAACCAUGGCAGUCUGGGCGAUUUUAAAGCAUCAAAGCCAUAGAAUGAAAAAAUUUGUAGUACAUUCAAGUAUUAUUUUAUAUUACAUGUUUAAGUUGCAACGCAUUCUUGUCUAUACUUAGUAACAAAUGUAUUUAAUUCUAAGAAACUGGUCAGACUAGUCCUGCGACAUUGUGCGUGAUAGGCUUCCUGAUCCUUCAUGAAAAGACAUGCAUUUUUUUAACACGGUCACCAUUAAAAUACACUUACAAAUUGGAUUUUAAUGGUGCCCGUACAAAUAUAUAAACUUAUAAGCAUAGCCUCAACUAGCAAUGGUUUCGAUUUUAAAUUGAUUAAAACCUUCAACAAUAUAAAAGUAGAAAAAUGUAAACUUAAUAAUGAGACACUGUUUAAUAAUGAGACACAUAUAAUACAAAUUAAACCUGGCUAAUUCAACAGUAGGCUCUGUGCACAGGUGUGCAGGGAUACCAGGUCUGACUCACAGGAAGCGCAUGCCUAAAGCACAGGCCUUUCACAUCCAGGUGUUUGCUUGCCAUAGCUCAAAUAUGCUUCUGAAUCCUGCUUUCUCCAUGUUCUAAAGAUAAUCGCUGUGAUUGACAGUAAUAGUGAAUUAGUAGUGAAAGAAUGCUUAUGAGAACCCCAAUAGCCCCCCCUCUAAAGGACACUACUUUUUUAGAGGAGGAAGUGUGGGACAAAUUAAGUUUAUAUGUUUAUUUCACCUCAUGCAAUGUAUAAUCUGCAUUUUAUGAUGAAUAGCCUACUUUAUUAUGCAGUCUGCUGAAUGUUUUUUGAUAGAAAGAUGCAUUUAAUUAAAAAGCCUAAGUAACAAAUGAAAAAAUAAUACGCCAAUACAGUCAUAGUAAUUCAACAGUAUGUUAGACUGACUUCACAAAAAUAGGCUUUGUAUAUUAUGCAAAUUGUUAAAAAUUUAAGAGGGCAGGACUCAAAGGUACAAAAAACAAUUGUUUAUGGUUUCAGCCAAAUGAGCAUAAGAAAAUUUAAAAAAAUCAACAUACACCUUAUUGCACAAGAGAUAUGCUUGUUUUUAUGAGCAAAAACAUGAAUAGGUUUUUAAGAGCAAUACCAAUCUUUGCACACGUUAUGCCUGAAUGGUUUCAUGGACAGCUGUUUGAGAAAAUUGGGCUUCACAUUGAUAUAAUUGAUUGGCAGUCACAUUGGUUAGUGUUUUUUCAUAAUUAUUGUGAUUCUUACUCUGCUGAGUAGUUUAACACUAAUUUUUUGGAAGAAACUGUACAAAUCUUAGAACUAGUCUGCAACAAAUGGCUUAGCAAAUUAUGCAAACUAAAUCUAAAUGGGCUACACUUGAUUGUUAAAUUGCAAAUUGGAUUGGAAUUAGCCAUGGAAUGAGACAAAAAAAAUUCGAUCUAGGCCUCAGGGUUCUCGAGAUAGAGACUAAAAAGUAUACAGUAUGGUGCGCUAUAGCUCUACCAUAAGGCUGCAUGGGGUUAUCUCGCUUGAUCAACUAGUAAGACUAGGGAGUACCACCUAUUGUCCAAAUUUCUCCAUGACAUAUGGUUUGGUCUGCAUGAUUUAUUUUAGGGGAGAAAAAUACUAAUAAUAAUGAUGUCCAAGCAGCCUCAGCAAAUAUAGGCCCAAUUGCCAGUUCUUGCCAAAUGAUACAGAAUAAUAAAGAAACCAUAGAUGAACAUACAAUUUUUGUGAUGACAGCUCAACGGUAAUUGCGUGAAAUGCCUGCUGAUAAGACAAUAGCUAAGGGCAGCCACGUUUUUAAAGUAACGCAGUAAUAAUUAAAGAUCCAGUCACAGAUUAACAGAACAAUGCAGCACACAAAAUUUCAGCUUGAUCAGUAUUUCGGUUUCUUUGAUACAGCUAUAUGAUCUUAACUCCAGCUUUGCCAAGUUUGGUGUGAAUCUAUACAAUCAAUCAUGAAUUACAGCUGUUUGAGUAAGCUAGCGCUGCCCCACUUGUAUUAACCCUCGUACCCCUUAGUUCCCACAGUAUUAUGUCCCACAACCCUAUAUUCCCCAUAGAAACAGCACGCCAACCCUGAGUUCCCAGGCCAAAAUUGGCCCCAAAAUCAACAUUUUAAUUUGAACAUUUUUAGGCCUUGAAACAACUUAUAAUAAUGUAUUUGUGUAUUAUUACUUUGAAAAUGAAGCAGUUAAGUGUUUUUACUCCACUUAGAGCACAAUUCUUAACUAGAGAAAUGACGAAAAUGCUCGCUAAAAUCCUUAUACUCCUUUAGAAGUACCAUACGAGCAUCAGCGUGGUCAAUGCCUUUGAAUAAAUUCAAGCAAAUAAUAAAUAAAUAAAUAAAUAAAUAAAUGCAUUUUAGCACCAAAAGUCAAGUUUCUGGUGAUAAUCAGACCAGCAGGUACUGUUUACACGAAUGCACAGAAAUGGUCCCGUUAUGACUCCAGACCCCUGCAGUGUCAGUCGUACUGGUUGAUGCUGAAGAUGAAGACGGAUCAGGGUCUGAAUCAGGAGAGUUUGCAUCUCUAUUAGUUUCGGUUUCAACAUCGCCUGAACUUUCACUGCUGUCACUAUCUAGAAUCCUUGCUCUCGCCUGUGUAAGUUUUCUUUUUUUUUUUCCACUGUUUUAGAUGUACCUGUGUUCACUGUAGGUGUAACUUUAGCUGGAACACGAAUAGCUUUUCGCUUUGGCAUUUUUAGUUCACUUCUACUAUUACACCAAUAUUCACGCUUGGAUCUUCAUCGUAAUGCCGGCGUAAUAACGUAAUCACGUCGUGACGCCAUGACGUGAUCAACCUUCCGGGUUAAAAAAAAUAAAUUAAAUAAGUAAGGAAUCAUGGCAGAGUAAUGCCGGUACACCGGCCUUACGGGGAUAACGUUUACACUGUAAAGCCGCUAUAUCGGCCUUACGGGUAUUUGGCAUAGACGACCAAGCCGGUAUAUCGUCCUUACAGGAAUAGAUCAAAAGACGGGCAAGCCGGUUUUUCGGCCAUACGGGGUAAGAGGGUUAACUAGCAUGUGGUGGCCAUACUGUUAACAAAUCUAAAAAAUUAUUACAAACACUAAUCAGAAACCUGUUCCAUAACUGAAGCUCUUUGCAAGAAAAUGCUCUACACCCCUGCUCUGAGAUACAUUAUUCUAAAGUACUAAUAAAGAGCCUGCACCUUUUGAUCAAAGCAGGCACAGUGGAUCAUAAGAAACCAGUUUGCUCAAGUACUGUGGUAUGAAACCAUUCAGUGCUUAAUAGGUCAUUAGUUGUAUUUUAUAAUCAAUUAGAAUGUUUACUGGGAGCCAAUGCAGUGUAGAUAAGCGGUGUUGUGAUUAUAUUAUAUUAUUUUGGUUCUAGUAAGGACUCUGGCUGCUGCAUCCUAACUAGAGCUUGUUUAUGCACCUACUGGAACAUCAAGUCAGCAAUGCCAUCGUCUAAUAGAUAAUAGUUAAAAGAAGCAUGAACUUGUGUGUCUUUUCGUGCAAUAUAUCUGAGAGGAAAAAAGCCUAUUCUAGUAUUAUAGAUAUGAGCUUCAAAUAAGACACUACAGUCAAUAAUCACACCAAGAUCUUUCAAAGGUGCACAUGAUAUAACAAAGGCCAUUCCAGAGUUACUAAAUAAUCAGAAGGCUUUCUUCUAGCUGCAUGUGGUCCUAGUAAAAGUACUUCUGUCAUGUCAGAAUUAACAUCAAGCUGUGUGUCAUCACCAUAGCAGUGGAAGAUAAAAUCAUGUUUUCAAGAGGUAGCAUAUAAAGAUAAGAGCAAUGGGCCUAGAACAGAGCCGUGUGAAACACUAAACUUGAAUUUUUUACAAAACAGCGAAGUUGCCAUUAAAAUCUACAAACUGAUAAUGAUCAGUCAGAUCUGAGCCAGGAAAGAGCCAUUCCCUUAACUCUGUCAUGAUUUCCCCUUGAAGCAGCGUGCUCUAAGCGCGAAUGCGCAAGCACCUGCUUUUCCAUUGUUGACAGGAGUGACAUCUGGACACGUGUGUUUUGUUUAUGUCAUGUCUCCUCCCUGUUCUGUCAUUGGCUGGGAUUUCACGUGUGUCUGUAUUGCCCUCAGCUGCUAGCAGUUUAGACGCUGAUCAUGUCCACAUAUAUACCGUGCGCCUCCCAGCACACAACGUGGAAGAUUAUCGUAGAGUUAGAUUAGUUCUUAUAGUAGUCAUAGUCACGUUCCAUGUUAAGAGUUAGUUCACGCUGGAUUAUCCGCUCCCAGUUCCUCGUCCUAGUUCAUGUUUCUCGUUUUGUUUAUCGACCCUGUUUUCCGUGACCACGACCUUGAUUCAUGUUUAACCCCGUGUAUGCCUGUUUACCGAUCGCCUGACCUUCGCCUGUUUUGGAUUACGUUUAUGAAUCACGUUUUGGAUUUGUCUGCCUGUCUCUCUUUUAAAAUAAACAACUGUUCAUACUGCACUUGCAUCCGUCCUAUCUCCGCUCCGUCACGAUACGUGACAAACUCAAACAGUAUUGUUCUUUUAAGAGGGGGUAGAGUGCAGUGGAAAUCAGUUGCCUCGUCAAGUUCUGUGGGGUCAGAAGGUGAACCAAUAGGUCAACAAUUUGAUUGUUAAUAAACCUCUACAAUCACUGUAUACAUUUACACGCACACACAGUCAUGGACAAAAAUAUGGGUACCCCUGCAUUUCUGUCAGAUAAUGCACUACUUCUCCCAGAAUAUUGUUGCAAUUACAAAUACCUUGGCAUUCUCAUGUUUAAUUUUUUUUUGUAUUGGAGCAACACAAAAAAGGCAGAGAAAAAAUAAAUAAAUCUGAGACAAUCCACACAGAACUCCACAAUGGACUGGACAAAAUUAUUGCCACGUUUUCAACAUCUUCAGAAAAAAAAUUUUUCUAUCAUUUGAUGUUCCUUUAAUUUGUAAUUAAACUCACCUUUAGCAAGUCAUAGGUGCUGGCAAUAUAGAAAUCACACUUGCAACCAGUUUAAAUGGAGAAAAAUUGACUCAGUGUUUUGAGUGUGUGUACACCACACUGAGCAUGGAUAAAAUAAAGAAGAGCAAAGAGGGUGCACUAUGGGAAGAAAGCAAGCUGGCAGAGGCAUUGUGAUGCUCUGGGCAAUGUUAUGCUGGGACACCUUGAGUUCUGGCAUUCAUGUGUAUGUUUCUUUGCCACAUACAAACUCAAUCCAAUCGAACAUCUGUGGGAUGUGCUGGACAAAAAAGUCUCUCCAUGGAGGCCCCACCUCCAAACUUACAGGACUUAAAGGAUCUGCUGCCAACGACUUGGUGCCACAUACCACAGCACAUCUUCAGAGGUCUUGUGGAGUCCAUGCCUCAACGGGUCAGAGCUGUUCUGGCAUCACAAGGGGGACCUACACAAUAUUAGGCAGGUAGUUUUAAUGUUACAGUGUAGUAUCGUCGUUAUUCGAUGUUAGCAUAUCGAAUAACAUACUCAAAACUGCAUAAUAAUGUGGGAUGUUGUAAAUUUUUAAACUUUAUUAAGUCCACAUUCCAACUUAACUUCAUAGGGUUCUUUCACAAAUGCAGUGUUAAGGCCCAUCACGAUAAUUACAGUAUCGACUCAUUGUACAGUUAUAUGGACAUGACCUCGAUAAUUUUUGCUGACCUCAAUACUGCCCAAUGUGUUUGCAUGCGUUUGUUUUCAUAAGAAUGAAUGUCACCAACAUUGGCCAUUUGUGCUACUUCUGUUCUCUCGACUACUCUAGGGCUGUCAAGUUAAAUUUGAACUUCAAAUAUUUGUCAAAUUUAAGAUAAAAAUGUGCAUUCAAAAGCAAAAAUUGUGCGUUCAAAUUUAAGAUGUGCAGCAUCAAACACUGUUUUAAUAAAAUGACAUGCAAGAUAUUAAUGUUUUUCGAAGAAGAAAAAUCUAGAAAGAAUAUUUCUAGUGUUUCAAAUAAUCAAGUCAUAAUCAAUAAUGUUGGGGAUUGACCCGCUAAGCUGCGUGAGCUGAAGCUGAACAGUGAAUGAACACCAGUAAACUGAAGCGCUUUACUGGCGGGUUAUUUAACGCAACCAAAUGCAACCUAAACACACAUAGGCAUGUGAAAAAAUAAGUACAAUGCCCUCCACUAAUACACAAUUAAUUUGAGAACAUAUUUGAGAAGAAUAUAUUUGAAGUAUAUUCCCAUUGAUAUUUAAUUUUUUUUUUUUAGUACACCUGGGUGAUAAGGAACAAGAAAUUGUUCAACCAUGACUUCCUGUUUCACAGGGGUAUAAAUAUGCGGUAACACAUAGGCCAAAAUCCCUUAGUCAUUCAUAACAAUGGGUAAGACCAAGGAAUAAAGCUGUGAUGUGCAACAAAAGGUUGUUGAGCUUCACAAAAAGGGAAGUGGCUAUAAGAAAACAGUGCAAGCACUGAAAAUGCUCAUUUCCACCUGUCAACUGGAAAUGUUAUGAAUCAACCUGGAAUUGGACAUGUGUCUAUAUUGUCUCAAUGGAUCUCCAAGGAUCACAGCUGGAGAAUUGCAAAAGUCAGUUGGUCUUGGGGUCAGAAAGUCUCCAAAACUACAAUCUGAAGUCUCCUACAUCAUCUACUCAUCCAUAUGGAAAAGUACUUCAUGCCCAUGGUUAAAUAUGGUGGUGGCUCUUUAAUCUUUUGGGGCUGUUUUCCUGCCAGAGGACCUGCACAUUUUGUUAGGAUACAUGGCAUCAUGGACCCUAUCAAAUAUCAACAGAUAUUAAAUGAAAACCAGACUGCCUCUGCCAGAAAGCUUAAAAUGGGCCAUGGGUGGAUCUUCCAGCUGGACAAUGAUCCAAAACAUACAUCAAAAUCAACACAAAAAUUAUUUUUGUGGUCAGUAAACCAAGAUGCUGCCAUAGCCAUCCCAGUCCCCUGACUUGAAACCCAUAGAAAACCUGUAGGGUGAACUGAAGAGAGUCCAUCAGCCUGGAACUCAAAAUUUGAAGGAUCUGGAGUGAUUCUGUAUGGAGGAAUGGUCUCAGAUCCACUGUCAUGUAGCAAGAACAUCUCUAACCACAUCAGGCAUUAUAGGAGAAGGCUCAGAGCUGUUAUCUCGGCAAAGGGAGGUAGCAGAAAAUAUUGGCUAAAAGGGUGCCAAUAAUUGUUGCACACAUAUUUAACAAAGAUUUUUUUGAUAAACCUGUGUUUUGUUUGCAAUUGUUUGAUAUCCAACAGAGUAUUUUUGUGAAUUUUAUGAACAAAAGAUCAAAAGGUUAAACAAUAAAGACAAAUUUUCACAUCCUUCUUUGCUCAUAUUUACCAUGGGUGCCAAUAUUAGUGGAGGGCACUGUAGGUGAAUCAGCCUUUAACUUGUUUAAUUUAAAUCAGUUUCAACUUCCCAGUUGGCAGUGAACAAAGCCUGUAACUGAAAGUGAGGAAAGGCCUUGCUCACUGCCAACUGGGAAGUUGAUAUACGUAGGCAAGCGAAGAAUGCAGGAUUCAAAAACACAAUUAGUGCUACAGAGCCAAGCUUUAACAAACCUGUUAGAUUGGGCAUUCAAGAAAUCACCAUAUCAAAAUAAUGGAGAUUUUUUCCCACCCAUAUUCUGAAAACACUUUGAUGGUUACCACCACCACCACCUAAUACUGGCCUGCCACUGAGCUAUUUUAAAAGUGAAUAUGACUCCUCUAUGGCAGCCCAUGUGGUGGCAUAACAAAAAUAAAUGGGUCAGUGUGUGAAAGAUGUGGCCAAGAAGAGCAGUUGUAUGUCAUGCAUCACAGCUUGAACACUGGAGCUCAGUGGAGCUAUGAGAAGAAUAAAUCAGAAUACCUGGAAUGCUCAUGGAGAUCAGUUCACUGUCUGCACAUGCACAUUAUCUGUGUACUACACAUUAAAACACUUGCUUACAGUAAAUGACAAAUAUAAAAACACAUACAAGCAUAGAGCACACAAGCACACACAUGCUACAUGUUCAGCAGUAUGAGGGUCAUGGACUCUGACCUCCCAAAGGCCUCAUAGUAAAGGAGCAGUUGUAAGCGUGGCCUGCAUGUGUGUGUGCAGGUGUAGAAGACAGCGACAUAAAAUUACAUUCUUUUUAAAAACAGAAAUGGGAUUGAGACUUAAGUUCAAGACUUUUCCUUCAACAACUAUAGACUGAUGUAGAGCUACAACAACUAAUCAAUAAAAUCGAUAUUAAAAAUAAUCAACAACAAAUUUCAUUAUGGAUUAGUUGGGUCUGUGACAUCACUGUGGAUAACCUCAGUCAGUGACGUCACUUCACAAUGGUGAAAUAAGCAUUUCUAUCAAUAAAACACAUUUGAAAAACAGCAGAGGUCACGGAGCGAGCUACUCAGGGAAAAGUGCACGAUCCAGGUUGUCCAAAACAUGAGAAUGUUUUAUAUUAAGCGCUUCAAACAAACUCGUAAGAGUAUUAACAUGGCUUGUCGUGUCAGAUGCAUGUGCUGUUUGUGCUCCAGACAUGUUUUCUUCACCGCAGUAAUUACAUAUUUACCUUUAUAUCCUUAUCUGUAAAAGUUAGAAAUUCAUGCCAGGAUUUCCAUUUUAAAUAAAGGCUCAUCCUGACAGCAAGACAGUCACCAUUAAACUUCACUGAAUGAGCACGAGUCCACGUAUGCACGUCAAAGAGCGCGCAAUAGAAAGGAGGCACAAUAAUUUUGACUAAAAUAUUAAUUUUCAUCAAAUAUGUUGUUUGAUGCUAUAUUCAGCUAUACUUAGAAACAAAAGUAAUUGUAUUUUUUAUGAGAGCAAUAACUGUAAUGAGGUUAAAGCGUCAUGAAACACUAUACUACAUUUUCUGAGAUUUUAACAAAGGUGUUCUUAGCAUCUGUUAAUUUUAAUUGUAGGAGAUAGCUGGUCAAUUUUGAACUUUUGUCCGCUAUUUUCAACUUCCUGGUUUAAAAUUUCGGUUACAGGCAGUGGCGUGACAAUGCACUACAGUACUUCAAUGACUUGUCGGGAUCUCAAUUAUUCAUAAGUCUGCAUGUUCUUAUUCUAUGAGAAGAUGCUGUCUCUUAAUUAGUCAUGACAGCACAUUGUGCAUUCCUACAGAUGUAGUAGAUGAGAGAGGCAUUCAAAUGGGUCAGAGGUGUUUGUUUCAGCGGUGUAAGAGUUCGAGUGUGUUUAUUGUGGAGCGCUAUGAGAACUGGAGAAAGGUGGACUUCGGACUUGCUCAUGAAAGCAGUUUGCGUCUAAACAAUGUUGCGGUACUCAGACCCGAGGACUUUUCUAUGCCUACAACUGACGUAUGUGUCUAAUUUUAACCAUGACUGUUUUACUUACCUUUUGAGUUAAUUAAACCACUUAAAUCUCCACAGGCCAUCACCUGCAAAACUAUACAACAAGAGUCUAUGUUGAAGGGAAGAGCCUUCUCUCUUUUAUUCAUGAAAAGCUCGAGCCUAUUAGCUAACUAGCAUUCCAACAUUUCUCUCAUCCGCGCUACCUCUGGCUCGAGGAAAACAAUAACAAAAUAUUAUAAAAACUGUACAUAUAAUAGGGCUGCACGAUUAUGGCCAAAAUGAUAAUCUUGAUAAUUUUGAUCAAUAUUGAGAUCUCGAUUAUUUAUCACAAUUAUUAAUUGAUUUUAGUGACAACAUAUUUUUAUUGCACUUUCACAUUUAUUAAGUUUUCUCAUGUCACAAAAUAACACACAAGUAGGCAUGGGAAAACUUGAGCUGGUCAAUUAUGACAGAAUUUAGGAACAGAGUGUGAGCCAUGACAAAUUAAUUUACCUUCUGAUAAACUAAAUGUAAUAUUUUCAGUUAAUUAUUCAGACUGUGUGCAAAAAAACAACCGUUAACCUGUUCCACCUUGUAAACAAAUACAAUAAAAUCAAUGUUCAGUGUUUGAAGUUGGCUCCUCUUAAAUACAUUUAAAGCUACACUAUUAGACAUUUUCCACUGUCAUGGUUCUGGGCUGGAGCCAGUUCUCAAACCACUCUGUGUAUAUUGUGUAUAUAUCUGAAUAAUCUCAUAUAGGAUGUGAUUGGGUGAGUUCAUUUACCCAUCAGAUGCAAAGAGCUUUAGUAUAAUGGUGUUCAUUACUAAUAUUCUGAUCAGGAUUUUUACAGCCGAUACCGAUUCAGAUACCGAUUCAGAAUCUUUUUUUUACACUUUAAUCAGGAAGUCUAUCAUAAACAGUUAAAUGUAAGCUCUCUGCUCAUGGUCACUGUUAAUUGAUUUAAAAUAAUAGCAAUGAGAUACUGAUGGUAAAUUGAUAAAUAAACAAGCAUAAAAUAUUUAUUUUUAAAUAUCUUAAACAAUAAAGAGUCCUAAUUAAAAGUAGACAAACACAAAAAUAAUCCAUAUUUAGGAAAAAGGCUAAUAGCUUUCUAUGGAGAUAGCGAACUAAGCUAAAUGUCAAAUUGAUAUUAAAUGCAACCCAUAGUAAUUAAACAUUAUUUCAUUUCUCAUUUUAUCUAUAUUUUAUUAAGUUAUUAUAAUAUCAUUAAAUGAUUUAUUUAUAAUUAAGCACAUUUUCUGUCUUUACAUUUUAAUAGUUUUAUUUUUGUUUGUUUAUCAGUUUUAGAUCGGUUCCCCCAGUACAGUGUCCAUGUCUGCUGAUAAUAUUGGGUUUUGGGGGGAAAAAUGAAAACAUGGAAACUGGAGUUGACUUUUCUAGUGAUAUCUGGCAACCGUGAGUUUAAAUGAAGUGAAUUAGAGUUAGUGAAUGGAGAGCUGCAGCGUACUGUAUGUUUACAGACUGAACAGUUGCUACUCUUGCUUAUGAUUGGUGAGGAAUCUUUUAAUAAAGAAGUUUGAAUUAAACCCACCUUGUAGCGUUAGCAUUAUUAUUAAUUUGCUCCGCCCGAAGCCACUGCCUCUACACAAGCAGGUGCAAGUUCAGGUCAUUUUGCGGGAUCAAUAAAAGAUGGCGGUUGUGAGAUCAGGAAGUUGAAGCAGAUGAUGUAUAGAGUUACUUGUCAUCAUAAUGGCUUCUUUUCAGUAUUUACACACCUGUUUGGUUGACUGAGGAAAUGAAAAGCAGUGCGAAAGUAACUGUUGCUCGCUAUAGUUGCAUUUUGGAGUUGUAGUUUUUAUUCCGAUUGUAUUAUACAACUCCGAACAGGUCACUCACACCGGUGCAAAUAAAUAUUUAUUCACAGUCGCAUAGCUUGAGCCUUGAGCCUAUUAGCUAAUUACCAUUCCAACAUUUCUCUCAUCCGCACUGCCUCCGCUUUUGUUAUGUUUUCCUCCAUAGUCACACCAGGGGCUAAUGAUUCAAAUAGACAUGGCGUAGGACCUGUAAUGCUAUCUAUUAUGUCUUCAUUUAGCCCUGGGGGAUUCAGGAGAAGUCCUCUGCCUCAUCUGCAAAAGUCACUAUCCAUCUUUUUUUUUUUUUUUUUUUUUCUGAAGAAAAAGAAGGCAGUGUUCUGAAGGCUCGCCCCCCUCUUCCUCUCCUGGCUUUCCCUGCCACGCCCCCUCCCUUCUUCACACAGCCAUCUACACCCAUUUAAGUUGCAUUUUUCAAAAAAAUUGAGCGGUAGACUUGAGCUGAAAAAGGGAGGUUUCAUGACCCUUUAAAGCAUGUAAUUCUAUAUACAUAUAAGAAGUGUGAUACAUUUACAGAAUAGAGCAACAUGUUACUGUGUUCAAAUGAGUGAAUGUGUGUGUUAUUGCAAAAAAUGACCAGUUAACAGUUAGUUUGUGCUUUUGUUUUUCUUUUUCAGCAUUUUUACUAGUGAUUUAACUUCUGCUUUAAAGGUUGUGGACAAUCAGUUGUAUAUUUUGAAAACAAAAAAAAAUAUUUUUUUUUAUCCUUUGCAAAUUGUAUAUCAUAGCCCACAUAGAUACAUUUAAUACCUUUUUCAUAGCCUUCAGUUUGCAGAGUAUUUGAAGGACAACAUUGGGCAAAAUGUGAAACGUUUUUUUCAAGAGAAAAAAUACAGAAAAUAAAAAUUGGCCUUUUAACCCAACUAACUGAUUAAUCAAAGAAAUAAUCGACACAUUAAUCGAUUAUCAAAAUAAUCAUUAGUCGCAGCCCUAGACUGAUCCAAAGCUUGUGCUCUUUGGCCCUCUUCUACACGUGCUGCUCAUUUCCCACUUUAUGCCAGUACUAGUACUAAGCGUGCUGGGAAACUGCCUUGACUAUGGACCUAGGCUAUGACAUCAAAAAGACAUUCUAUUUACAGCAGCCCAUAUACACAACCUCUUCCAUUCCACUCUCCAAGGGUGACCCAUGAGUUUUGGGCAGACAACCCACCACUCAAAUUCUCCGACAGGUUUCUUUCUAGGCCCUUGAUAUACAGAGAAUCAGAGGUACCAGAGUCAAAGCUAAACACUAAUUUUGCAACAUUUAAUUUUACAGCUAUUUUCAAUAGCACUGUUUAUACAGUUUCAGUUUAUGUUUAUCCAGCUUUGAGUGUAUACAACAGUGAUACUGCAUUCACUGUGCAGCAUACAUCAAAAUUAAACAACUCUUGGGGGCUUGUGGUUACAAAAGCAUCACAUACUGUACUUGUAACUCUUAAUGGUAAAUGAACAUUAAAUGAGAUGAAGCUCUCCACAGAGAGUAUUAACCCUACAAGAGGGUAGAGUCAAAGCUGUUUCCUGAGGCAGACAACAUCUAGUGUUGUGGCAUAACAAUCAGAUUCGAAUACUGGAUUACAUCACUAGACUGAACACAAGAAAAAGGCAACUGGGUACACCUUGAAAAACAAAAAAAGCAGGGGAAAGUGUGAAAAAAGCCUAGGAGAAACAUGGAACAGGGGAAAUUCGUACAAUGUAAAGAUGCUAGGAGAUAAGGUUAACCCCUGAAAACAACAGUUUCUUGAUUUGGGAAAGACAUUAUUAUUUUGACACAUACUUAGUACAGUCAAUCACAUUAAACAGAGGACAGAAAGCUUGCCAGUGUGUUCCACAGAACAGUUAUACAGUUAUAUAAUAUAAAACAAACAUUAAUUUAUAAUUAUUUUUCACUGUUUUCCAGUCUUUCUGGAAUGGUAUACAGUUGUGCUUGAAAGUUUGUGAACCCUUUAAAAUUUUCUAUGCAUCUGCAUAAAUAUGACCUAAAAUAUCAUCAGAUUUUCACACAAGUCCUAAAAUUAGACAAAGAGGACCUAAUUAAACAAAUGAGAAAAAUAUUAUACUUGCUCAUUUAUUUAUUGAGGAAAAUGAGUCCAUAUUACAUAUCUGUGAGUGGCAAAUGUAUGUGAACCUCUAGCAUUAGCAGUUUAACUUGAAGGUGAAAUUAGAGUCAGGUGUUUUCAAAUCAAUGGGAUGACAAUCAGGGCCCAGUUGUUCAGGAGUAAUCUGAGCAGAUUUCAGCUAUUGGAUUGGAUCUAAACUUGAAAAUGUGUUGUUCAAAAGAAGAAAAUGAUUCUGAUAUCAGAUUGGAUCAUGUAAUCCAAUCUUGCUUUUUAUCUGGAUCAAAUCUCCAGUAUGUGUUGUUCAAAAGUUUUUAGUAGGAUUGGGAUAUCUGUUAUCCAAAACAUCUGGAUUAUCCUGACCCAGCAAAAGGGUGGAUUCAGGGAGGAUUUCAGGAACAAAAUAUAAUAAAGCUACAAAACUGGUCAAAUAAUACAACAUUUGUAUCAUGUAGUAUAAAAAUGUAUUAAUAUUUUGCACUUGAUUUGUUUAACUGUUAGUGAUAAACUACACAUCAGGCUACCAACUAAGCCUUUCAGUAGAGUAAAGUAAAAAAGAAAAAAGAUUUUGUCCCCAUAAAUAAUCCCCCAAAACAGUGGUCAAUGUCAAACAAAAUAUUAUUUAAUUUUAAGUGUCAUUUGUCACUGUACAAUAAUUACAAUGACACAAUCAUCAGAGAUGAACCAGUCAAAGUAGUUUCUAACAACUGCAUCCCUUAUUGCUCUCCACACAUGAAAAACUUAUUAUUUUGAAGAACAUUCUUAUUUUGUUAAAUAUGUAGACAUUUAGACUUAUGAUUUAAAAUGCGUUCAAAAGAUCCUCAAUGUAUUUGUGAAUAAUGUAUAUUUGUGUUUGUAGUUAUACUUCUGGACUACUGGGCCCAGGUUAUAAAAGGUUACAAAACCAUCUCUAAAGAGUUUGGACUCCACCAAACCACAGUCAUACAGAUAGUGUUCAAAUGGAGGAAAUUCAAGACCAUUGUUACCCUCCCAGGAGUGUUCAACAAAGAUCACUCCAAAAGAAAGACAUGUAAUAGUCAACGAGGUCACAAAGAAACCCAGGGUAACUUCUAAGCAACUAAAGGCCGCUCUCACAUUGGGUUAUUGUCUUAAUGUUCAUGAGUCCAUCAUCAGGAGAAUACUGAACAAUAAAUGGUGUGCAUGGCAGGGUUGUAAGGAGAAAAUAGAAUUUUUGGUUUAAAUGAGAAGCGUUAUGUUUGGAGAAAGGAAAACACUGCAUUCCAGCAUAAGAACCUUAUCCCAUCUGUGAAACAUGCCAGUGGUAGUAUCACGGUUUGGGGCCAUUUUGGUGCAUCUGGGCCAGGACUGCUUGCCACCAUUGAUGCAACAAUCAAUUCUAAAUUAAACCAGCAAAUUCUAAAGGAAAAUGUCAGGAUAUCGGUCAUGGACAGAACCUCAAUAGAAAGCAGGGCAUGCAGCAAGAUAACAACCCUUAUUUAAAAAAAUAAAAAUAAAAAAAAAAGGACACAAGUCAUUCUACCAAGGAAUGGUUAAAGAAGAAUAAAGUUAAUACUUUGAAAUGGCCAGUCCAAACCUUAAUCCAAUAGAAAUGUUGUGGCCUAAAGCAAGCAGUUCAUGUGAGGAAACCCAUCAUCAUCCCAGAGUUGAAAUUGUUCUGUACUGAGGAACAGUCUAAAAUUCCUCCAAGCUGUGGUGCAGGAUUGAUCAACAAUUAUCGGAAAUGUUUAGUUGCAGUUAUUGCUGUACAAGGGGGUCGCGCCAGAUACUGAAAUCAAAGGUCCACACACUUUUGCCAUUCACAGAUAUAUUGUAAUAUUGGAUCUUUUUCCUCAAUAAAAAAAUGACCAAGUAUAACAAAUGUCUCAUUUGUUUAAUUGGGUUCUCUUGAUCUACUUUUAGUACUUGUACGAAAAUCUGAUGAUGUUUUAAGUUAUAUUUAUGCAGAAAUACAGAAAAUUCACAAACUUUCAAUUACCACUGUAGACCCUGCCCCCUUCCAGUUUAAAGCCAAAUAUAAAAACAGAUAUGAAUACUUUGAGCACUAAACAGACACAGAUAUAAAUACAGAUUAUGGCAUUGCAUUACAACCCCAUAAAAUUUCAUUUUUAUCAGUUUAUACUCCAUAAAAUGGACUUUCAAAGAUGACCCACUGGUGCUGAACCAAAAUACCUUCUGGUAGCUUUCACCUAUACACUUUCAUACAGUCUAAAGAUUUUCUACUUGUAAAGAUUGCCUCUGGCUGUAGUGUCACUGUAUUUUGCACAGAUUGCCCAAGGUUGCACGCCAGAGACAGAAACUGCAGAAUCUUUCAUCAACCAGACAAACCCUUUCUGACAGCCUCACAAUGAUGGCCUCAUAAUGCUGAGGCUCCUGUUCUUACAGAUCUGACCCAAUAAAAACACAGCUGUCGGCACAUUCAGUCUCUUUCUUUCCACAACCUUACUUCAUUUUUUUUUUCACUUUUUUUUCCCUCAAGCUCUACCUCUUCAGGAAAGUAGGUUAGAUAAAACUUCUUUGUAGUCCUUUGCACUUAGUUUUUUGUAUUAUAACUUUGUAUUUAUUGUUUAGGCAUUAUAGGUUUGUUUGUUUUUUUUUAAACACGAUGCCAGCUUCUAUGGCUAGUUUCAUGGUGAGAAAUGUCUAAGGGACUCCAUAUAAGGUUUUUAAAAUCUAUUUUUCCUAAAAACUCUAAAAUUGCAUUAGGUUUGACAUUUCUUCCAGAGUGUUGACUGAACAAAAAAAGGUUUCUCACUGGGUUAAGACCAGUACAGUCUAAAAAAAAUGUUUCAAGGAUAAUGGAUUCUGGUAGAAGGUAAAUGUUGGUGAAUCUUCUCCUAAUAUUAAAAACUUGUGUGUCAUCCUGGAGUGACCUGUUCGACAGCAGGUGUAGACAAUCUGGUUCCAGUGAUUUGAAAACAAAGAAACAUUUUUCUUUUGCCAACAAUAGGGCUGAUUUCAUGGAGUUUGUUCGUGGUUUUAGGUCAGUGGGAGGAAAUCUGCUGAUAAUGCUUAUUUUUCAGCAGUGUCUGCUUCUUUAUUUCCCGGGAUUCCAGUGUCCAGCUACCCAGCAGAGGUAGAUAUUAAAAUUUAGGGCCACCAGAUAAAGCAAUUUGCAAAGAAUUUUUACAAGCAUAGGUGAUCAUUUUUUGGGAUGACAUUGCUUGAAGACAUGAUUUUGAAUCUAUAAUUAUCAGAAAGUAUUUCUGUUGCAUAGUUUUUAUGAAGUCCAGUGCUAAGAUGAUAAUGUUUGCCUCUGCUGUAAAAAUUGAGCUGUGGUUGGGGAUAUUCCCAAUUUUUUCUUUUGGUGAUUGAUCACGAAUUCAGAUGACACAUGGUCUUCAGAUUUUGAGCCAUCUGUAUAUAUGCCUUGAUGAUGUACUGUGUCCAAGAUUUGGAUAUAUGAUUUCCUACCUGAUCCAUAUACUAUACAUCCAUAAUCCAGGCAUGAUCGAAUUAGUGUUCUGUAGAGAUUUAAAAGAACUGAACUUUAUGCACCCUGUUUGGUUUUAGCUAAAACCUUUAAAAUGUUCUUGGCUUUAAGACAUUUAUCAUUUAAAAUCUUCAUGUGAGGGAUAAAACUCAGUUUACUGUCCAGAGUUUUGGUCUUUGUAAAUUUAAAACCAUUUGAUACUGGCCAGGAUUGCAUUCUGUUCAUUGUAAGAUGGAUUUUCUGUUGAACAUUAUUUGUGCAUUUGCCUCUGUAGCAAAUGCCAAUGUCAUCCACAUAAAGACUAUAAUGGAUAUCCGGCCUGAUGGCUUUUGUGAUGCCGUUGAUUUUGAUACUAAAAAGUGUAACUGAUAAAAUGGUUCUUUGUGAUACUCCUAGUUCUUGUUUAUGUAGGUCAGAUAAGGUAUUACCUACUCUGACUUUGAAAUGUCUGUUUGAUUAAAAUAAAAAAAAAA